GAUGAACGCUGACAGCAUGCUUAACACAUGCAAGUCAACUGUGGCGGACGGGUGAGUAACGCGUAAAGAACUUGCCUCCCAGUUAGGGACAACAUUUGGAAACGAAUGCUAAUACCUGAUACUGUGGGAGAGCUUUGCGUCCCAUUAGCUAGUUGGAGAGGUAACGGCUCACCAAGGCGAUGAUGGGUAGCCGGCCUGAGAGGGGGAUGGGCCCCAAGGGGCCUGAGACACGGCCCUUACUCCAACGGGAGGAAGCAGUGGGUAAUAUGGGACAACGGACCAAAGUCUGAUCCAGCAAUUCUGUGGGGACGAUGAUGUUUUCGGAAUGUAAAGUGCUGUCAGUUGGGCAGCGGUACCCACAGCAGAAGUGACGGCUAAAUACGUGUCAGCAGCCGCGGUAAUAC
RNAcentral lists this ribosomal RNA (404 nucleotides) under uncultured bacterium. RNAcentral's name for it is "partial 16S ribosomal RNA". It matches the Rfam family "Bacterial small subunit ribosomal RNA", at positions 28 to 526 of the family's 1533-position model. The record is from RNAcentral.